This 253-nucleotide ribosomal RNA is filed under the name uncultured bacterium. RNAcentral's name for it is "partial 16S ribosomal RNA". It matches the Rfam family "Bacterial small subunit ribosomal RNA", at positions 524 to 776 of the family's 1533-position model. The record is from RNAcentral.
UACGAAGGGGGCUAGCGUUGCUCGGAAUCACUGGGCGUAAAGGGCGCGUAGGCGGUCUGCUAAGUUGGAUGUGAAAACUCUGGGCUUAACCCAGAGCCUGCAUUCAAUACUGACAGGCUAGAGUUCUGGAGGGGAUAGCGGAAUUCCUGGUGUAGCGGUGAAAUGCGUAGAUAUCAGGAGGAACACCGGUGGCGAAGGCGGCUAUCUGGACAGAGUCUGACGCUGAGGCGCGAAAGCUAGGGGAGCAAACAGG